AGAGUUUGAUCCUGGCUCAGGAUGAACGCUGGCGGUAUGCUUAACACAUGCAAGUCGAACGGAGUACUUCGGUACUUAGUGGCGGACGGGUGAGUAACGCGUGAGAAUCUGCCUUCAGGUUCGGGACAACCACUGGAAACGGUGGCUAAUACCGAAUGUGCAGCAAUGUGAAAAAUUUAUUGCCUGAAGAUGAGCUCGCGUCUGAUUAGCUAGUAGGUGUGGUAAGAGCGCACCUAGGCGACGAUCAGUAGCUGGUCUGAGAGGAUGAUCAGCCACACUGGGACUGAGACACGGCCCAGACUCCUACGGGAGGCAGCAGUGGGGAAUUUUCCGCAAUGGGCGAAAGCCUGACGGAGCAAUACCGCGUGAGGGAGGAAGGCUCUUGGGUUGUAAACCUCUUUUCUCAAGGAAGAAAAAAAUGACGGUACUUGAGGAAUAAGCAUCGGCUAACUCCGUGCCAGCAGCCGCGGUAAUACGGAGGAUGCAAGCGUUAUCCGGAAUGAUUGGGCGUAAAGCGUCCGCAGGUGGCUAUGUAAGUCUGCUGUUAAAGAGUCUGGCUCAACCAGAUAAAGGCAGUGGAAACUACAUGGCUAGAGUGCGUUCGGGGCAGAGGGAAUUCCUGGUGUAGCGGUGAAAUGCGUAGAGAUCAGGAAGAACACCGGUGGCGAAAGGCUCUGCUAGGCCGCAACUGACACUGAGGGACGAAAGCUAGGGGAGCGAAUGGGAUUAGAUACCCUAGUAGUCC
RNAcentral lists this ribosomal RNA (745 nucleotides) under uncultured bacterium. RNAcentral describes it as "bacterial SSU rRNA". It matches the Rfam family "Bacterial small subunit ribosomal RNA", at positions 8 to 796 of the family's 1533-position model. The record is from RNAcentral.